RNAcentral lists this ribosomal RNA (195 nucleotides) under uncultured Desulfocapsa sp. RNAcentral's name for it is "partial 16S ribosomal RNA". It matches the Rfam family "Bacterial small subunit ribosomal RNA", at positions 1191 to 1382 of the family's 1533-position model. The record is from RNAcentral. Lineage: Bacteria; Pseudomonadati; Thermodesulfobacteriota; Desulfobulbia; Desulfobulbales; Desulfocapsaceae.
CCUCAUGGCCUUUAUCGUCUAGGGCUACGACACGUACUACAAUGGCCGGUACAAAGGGCAGCCACUCAGCGAUGAGGCGCUAAUCCCGUAAAGCCGGUCUCAGUCCGGAUUGGAGUCUGCAACUCGACUCCAUGAAGUUGGAAUCGCUAGUAAUCGCAGAUCAGCACGCUGCGGUGAAUACGUUCCCGGGCCCUU